RNAcentral lists this ribosomal RNA (682 nucleotides) under uncultured bacterium. RNAcentral's name for it is "bacterial SSU rRNA". It matches the Rfam family "Bacterial small subunit ribosomal RNA", at positions 8 to 677 of the family's 1533-position model. The record is from RNAcentral.
AGAGUUUGAUCCUGGCUCAGAGUGAACGCUGGCGGCAGGCCUAAUACAUGCAAGUCGAACGGCAGCACAGCAGAGCUUGCUCUGUGGGUGGCGAGUGGCGGACGGGUGAGGAAUACGUGGGAAUCUGCCCAGUCGUGGGGGAUAACGUAGGGAAACUUACGCUAAUACCGCAUGCGCCCUUCGGGGGAAAGCCGGGGAUCUUCGGACCUGGCGCGAUUGGAUGAGCCCACGUCGGAUUAGCUAGUUGGUGGGGUAAAGGCCCACCAAGGCGACGAUCCGUAGCUGGUCUGAGAGGAUGAUCAGCCACACUGGAACUGAGACACGGUCCAGACUCCUACGGGAGGCAGCAGUAGGGAAUAUUGGACAAUGGGCGCAAGCCUGAUCCAGCCAUGCCGCGUGUGUGAAGAAGGCCUUCGGGUUGUAAAGCACUUUUAUCCGGAAAGAAAAGCGCUGGGUUAAUACCCUGGUGUCCUGACGGUACCGGAAGAAUAAGCACCGGCUAACUUCGUGCCAGCAGCCGCGGUAAUACGAAGGGUGCAAGCGUUACUCGGAAUUACUGGGCGUAAAGCGUGCGUAGGUGGUUUGUUAAGUCUGAUGUGAAAGCCCUGGGGCUCAACCUGGGAAUUGCAUUUGGAUACUGGCAGGCUAGANUGCGGUAGAGGGUAGUGGAAUNCCCGGUGUA